CCCUUAGAUGUUCUGGGCCGCACGCGCGCUACACUGAUGCAUUCAACGAGCCUAUCCUUGACCGACAGGUCCGGGUAAUCUUUGAAUCUGCAUCGUGACGGGGAUAGAUUAUUGCAAUUAUUAAUCUUCAACGAGGAACGCCUAGUAGGCGCAAGUCAUCAGCUUGCGUCGAUUACGUCCCUGCCCUUUGUACACACCGCCCGUCGCUCCUACCGAUUGGGUGUGCUGGUGAAAUGUUCGGAUCGGCCGUUUGUCGCGGUUUCCGCGGCUCGUGGCUGAGAAGUUCAUUAAACCCUCCCACCUAGAGGAAGGAGAAGUCGUAACA
Molecule: ribosomal RNA, 325 nt
Filed under: uncultured eukaryote
Lineage: Eukaryota
Description: partial 18S ribosomal RNA
Rfam family: Eukaryotic small subunit ribosomal RNA
Source: RNAcentral